UUAAUGAGAGUUUGAUCCUGGCUCAGGACGAACGCUGGCGGCGUGCCUAAUACAUGCAAGUAGAACGCUGAGGAUUGGUGCUUGCACUAAUCCAAAGAGUUGCGAACGGGUGAGUAACGCGUAGGUAACCUACCUCAUAGCGGGGGAUAACUAUUGGAAACGAUAGCUAAUACCGCAUGAUACUAGAGUACACAUGUACUUAAGUUAAAAGGAGCAAUUGCUUCACUAUGAGAUGGACCUGCGUUGUAUUAGCUAGUUGGUGAGGUAACGGCUCACCAAGGCGACGAUACAUAGCCGACC
Molecule: ribosomal RNA, 300 nt
Filed under: Streptococcus iniae
Lineage: Bacteria; Bacillati; Bacillota; Bacilli; Lactobacillales; Streptococcaceae
Description: partial 16S ribosomal RNA
Rfam family: Bacterial small subunit ribosomal RNA
Source: RNAcentral